This 1450-nucleotide ribosomal RNA is filed under the name Salmonella enterica. Its description in RNAcentral is "partial 23S ribosomal RNA". It matches the Rfam family "Bacterial large subunit ribosomal RNA", at positions 711 to 2141 of the family's 2925-position model. RNAcentral also lists the same sequence under 2 other names. The record is from RNAcentral. Lineage: Bacteria; Pseudomonadati; Pseudomonadota; Gammaproteobacteria; Enterobacterales; Enterobacteriaceae.
AGACCCGAAACCCGGUGAUCUAGCCAUGGGCAGGUUGAAGGUUGGGUAACACUAACUGGAGGACCGAACCGACUAAUGUUGAAAAAUUAGCGGAUGACCUGUGGCUGGGGGUGAAAGGCCAAUCAAACCGGGAGAUAGCUGGUUCUCCCCGAAAGCUAUUUAGGUAGCGCCUCGUGAAUUCAUCUCCGGGGGUAGAGCACUGUUUCGGCUAGGGGGCCAUCCCGGCUUACCAACCCGAUGCAAACUGCGAAUACCGGAGAAUGUUAUCACGGGAGACACACGGCGGGUGCUAACGUCCGUCGUGAAGAGGGAAACAACCCAGACCGCCAGCUAAGGUCCCAAAGUCAUGGUUAAGUGGGAAACGAUGUGGGAAGGCCCAGACAGCCAGGAUGUUGGCUUAGAAGCAGCCAUCAUUUAAAGAAAGCGUAAUAGCUCACUGGUCGAGUCGGCCUGCGCGGAAGAUGUAACGGGGCUAAACCAUGCACCGAAGCUGCGGCAGCGACGCUGAUGCGUUGUUGGGUAGGGGAGCGUUCUGUAAGCCUGUGAAGGUGGCCUGUGAGGGUUGCUGGAGGUAUCAGAAGUGCGAAUGCUGACAUAAGUAACGAUAAAGCGGGUGAAAAGCCCGCUCGCCGGAAGACCAAGGGUUCCUGUCCAACGUUAAUCGGGGCAGGGUGAGUCGACCCCUAAGGCGAGGCCGAAAGGCGUAGUCGAUGGGAAACGGGUUAAUAUUCCCGUACUUGGUGUUACUGCGAAGGGGGGACGGAGAAGGCUAUGUUGGCCGGGCGACGGUUGUCCCGGUUUAAGCGUGUAGGUGUGUGUUCCAGGUAAAUCCGGUUCACUUUAACACUGAGGCGUGAUGACGAGGCACUACGGUGCUGAAGCAACAAAUGCCCUGCUUCCAGGAAAAGCCUCUAAGCAUCAGGUAACAUCAAAUCGUACCCCAAACCGACACAGGUGGUCAGGUAGAGAAUACCAAGGCGCUUGAGAGAACUCGGGUGAAGGAACUAGGCAAAAUGGUGCCGUAACUUCGGGAGAAGGCACGCUGACAUGUAGGUGAAGUGAUUUACUCAUGGAGCUGAAGUCAGUCGAAGAUACCAGCUGGCUGCAACUGUUUAUUAAAAACACAGCACUGUGCAAACACGAAAGUGGACGUAUACGGUGUGACGCCUGCCCGGUGCCGGAAGGUUAAUUGAUGGGGUCAGCGCAAGCGAAGCUCCUGAUCGAAGCCCCGGUAAACGGCGGCCGUAACUAUAACGGUCCUAAGGUAGCGAAAUUCCUUGUCGGGUAAGUUCCGACCUGCACGAAUGGCGUAAUGAUGGCCAGGCUGUCUCCACCCGAGACUCAGUGAAAUUGAACUCGCUGUGAAGAUGCAGUGUACCCGCGGCAAGACGGAAAGACCCCGUGAACCUUUACUAUAGCUUGACACUGAACAUUGAGCCUUGAUGUGUAG